This 197-nucleotide unclassified non-coding RNA is filed under the name uncultured fungus. RNAcentral describes it as "sequence contains ITS1". Lineage: Eukaryota; Fungi. The record is from RNAcentral.
UUAACGUUUAUGAAAAAACAGUAUCAGACUGACUGCAAUAAGCAGGGUAUAUGUAUGCCUUCCCUGGGUGACCCCAGGGAAGCAACAAGUAAUAGGUACACAGAAGAGUUAAGGUAAUACCGGAAGAGCCUGCGGGCCAAUGGCCCGGGCCCUCGGUUUAAAUACUAAUGAUCCUUCCGCAGGUUCACCUACGGAAA